Molecule: non-coding RNA, 1389 nt
Organism: Zonotrichia albicollis (white-throated sparrow)
Lineage: Eukaryota; Metazoa; Chordata; Aves; Passeriformes; Passerellidae
Source: RefSeq, a predicted model, not a curated record
UGAUGCAAUCUGUGUUAGUGGCACCUCCUCUGGGGCAAAUCCUGACACUGGGCCCAGGGUGUGAUGCACUGAGCCUGGUGUGGAUCUCCUGGAUCUUCAAAGGACAGAGGAGAAAUGUUGCCAACUGAUUAAUAUUUUAAGCAUGUAGACAACCUGCAGACCUUGCUCUUCGACUCAGAUUUCUCCUUUCUCCCCUCCCCAAAAAUGGUUUUGCUGCUUUAAACUCAUUGUUCAGAUUUCCUACUCCCAGAUUUGGAUUUCAAUAUUCCACAUUCUCGUGUGCAAGUGUAAGCUGAGAUACAGAGAGUUUUGGUGAGAAAAGAGAGAUAAAGGAGCUGAAGAGGAACUUCCAGUGGCCUCUCUGUGCUGGCCAAGCCCCAAAUCCGUGAUGGCUUUUUGUGGACCUUGAGGCUGGGGUCCAGGGGAGCACAAGAAUUUGGAUAUUGGAGAUCAGAACUUGAAUCCUAGAAUAACCCAGCCCUUACUUGCACUCCUUCCCUGGGCAAAGGUUCUGUGCAGAGAUUUCCUCCACCACCACCACGUGCAGCUGAGGGAGAAGCUCCCAAGCACUCUGUGCAGCCUUUGAGGACCGUGAUUUAGAGAGUGACAUCCAAAGAUUUGCAAUGAACAGCUUUUAUCUGUGUGUGUUUGUGUGAGAAGCAGCGAGGCGGGAAAGGAAGCACAGCCAGAGCUCUUCCACCCACCCAGGACAGGAUGGCCAUGGAUCCUCUGCUCUGGAACUCUCCCUGUCACCUCCCAGGGACAUCUGCUGGGUCUGCAAAAGGAGGAACUGGGGUCUCCACACUGCAACAGGCUGGGAGCAAGUCCAACAGGCACAGUGUGGUCAAUGACAAGGCAUCCUGAGCCUGGCUUGUUCCAAUCAACUUCUGCAGGAGCGGGAUCGCCAAGGGAUCGCGGGAGUCGGGAACAGCGUUUAGCACUUUGCUGACCUUGACUCCACCUUUUCAAAACUCCUUCUGGAACCAAGAUUUUUUCCAGCCAUUUUCAAGUGAUUUCUUCCACUUCCUCCAGAGACUGAAACACUUGAUUGACCUGUGAUGUUCAGUGAAAUUCUUGCACUGGAAAUGAAAAAAAUGUUGGAAACCCUAGACAUGAAAAUGCUCAUGAACUUUAAAAAAAAAAAAAAAAGUCAAAAAAGUUUUCAACAUAUCAUCUGUCCAGGGUGUUUAACAACAGGUAUUUGGGGUUUCUUUUCAUUGUGAAGGAAGAUUUAGGAGCAAACAUGAAAAAUAGAUAUUUAAUUUUAAAUGUAUGAUUUUUACCUGUAUUUUAGCCUUGUAUAUAACACUCUGUCUCACUUGAGAGUUGCUAAUAACCAGGAAAUGAUUACUGAGAACUUCUGAAAUGACAUCGAGUAAAAAAUUAAAG